This 465-nucleotide ribosomal RNA is filed under the name uncultured bacterium. RNAcentral describes it as "partial 16S ribosomal RNA". It matches the Rfam family "Bacterial small subunit ribosomal RNA", at positions 339 to 795 of the family's 1533-position model. The record is from RNAcentral.
CUACGGGGGGCUGCAGUGGGGAAUAUUGGACAAUGGGGGAAACCCUGAUCCAGCAAUGCCGCGUGUGUGAAGAAGGCCUGCGGGUUGUAAAGCACUUUCGGUUGGGAGGACUGCUUCUAGCACUAAUAUUGUUGGAAGUUGACGUUACCUUCAGAAGAAGCACCGGCUAACUCCGUGCCAGCAGCUGCGGUAAUACGGAGGGUGCAAGCGUUAAUCGGAAUUACUGGGCGUAAAGCGCGCGGAGGCGGCUAGAUCAGUCGGGUGUGAAAGCCCCGGGCUUAACCUGGGAACUGCAUCCGAUACUGUCUAGCUUGAGUACAGGAGAGGAGAGUGGAAUUCCACAUGUAGCGGUGAAAUGCGUAGAUAUGUGGAGGAACACCAAUGGCGAAGGCAGCUCUCUGGCCUGAUACUGACGCUGAGGUGCGAAAGCGUGGGGAGCAAACAGGAUUAGAUACCCCAGUAGUC